AUAAGUUGUACUGGACACAUGGCUAUGUGCUCAUCUCCAAAGAGGUGGAGGACUGUGUUCCCGUGUUUCUGAAGCACAUUGCCCACGACAUAUACGUCUGCGGGAAGACCAUUAACCUGCUGAAGCUCUGCUGCCCCCGGCAUUACCUCUGUUGGUCCGACGUCCCCGUCCCCCGGAUCUCGGUGAUUUUCUCCCUUGAGGAGUUGAAGGAGAUUGAGAAGGACUGUGCCGUCUACGUUGGGCGCAUGGAGAGGGUGGCCCGCCACAGCUCUGUCAGCAAGGAGGAGAAGGAGUUACGUAUGGAAAUUGCAAAACAAGAAUUAAUCGCUCAUGCCCGGGAAGCAGCAUCCAGGGUCCUGAGUGCACUGAGUGACCGGCAGAUGUCAGAACGGAUGGCCUUGGACGCCCGGAAGCGUGAGCAGUUUCAGAGGCUGAAAGAACAGUUUGUGAAGGACCAGGAGGUGGGUAGGACCUGUCCCUGCGGGGUCAGGCCUGUCAGUCCUGAUUUCACAGGACAGGCUCUGUGUGUUUUAUAGCGACGCCAGGCGGCCAGGCAGGAGGAGCUGGAUGAUGACUUCAGCUACGCCCGUGAGCUCCGAGACAGGGAGAGAAGGCUGAAGUCCCUGGAGGAGGAGCUGGAGAGGAAGGCGAGGCAGGCUCUGGUCGACCACUACAGCAAGCUCUCUGCAGAGGCAGCUCGUCGGGAGCAGAAGGCGCUGUGGAGAAUCCAGAGGCACCGACUGGAGAGUGCACGGCUUCGUUUUCUCUUAGAAGAUGAGAAACACAUUCAGGAGAUGCUGAAAGCAGUGUCUGAGGCUCACCAGCCCCAGGAGCCGCCAGAUGUCCUGUUAAGCGUGCACCCCCAGGUCACAUCUCCUGGCCCUGAGCACCCAGAGGGAGGCCAAGGCUGUGAUUCUGGGUCUGCGGAGCAACACUCGGCUGCCUGGGAUGGCCGGAACAGGCCAGGCCUGCUGACCCCACAGCCCCUUAAGCCUCUAGCAGUGGGGGCUGGUGGCACGGGGCUGCAGCAGGCGGAGGAGGCCAGACCCUUCUCUGACAGCCUCAGCAUUGGAGACUUCCUACCUGUGGGCCCAGGGGCUGAGCCAUCCAUGCAGACUGGCAUGGUCCCUCUCCUGGAGGUGGCGCUGCAGACCAUUAACUUGGACCUGCCCCCCUCAGCUCCUGGGGAGGCACCCGCAGUAGCCAGCACUCAGCCCUCCAGGCCACAGGAGUACGACUUUAGUACUGUCCUGAGGCCAGCUGUGGCCACCUCACCUGCACCAGGGCCCCUGCAGGCUGCAGAGUGCAGCUUGGGCAGCUCAGGGCUACAGCUGUGGGAGGACAGCUGUGGGAAGCUGGAUGCCUGUGGCUCCACCUUGCGGGAGACUCUGCCCCCUUCAUACCCACCCAGGCGUGCUGCUCUGGAGGAGGGGAGCAGCCAGCCCACAGAGCAGCUCUGUGGGCAGGAGUCAGGGGGUGGUCUUCCCACAGGGUACUACGCUUCUAAAAUAGCUCCCACCCGGCCACGGUGGAACACCCACGGGCACGUGUCUGAUGCCAGCAUCAGGGUCGGGGAGAACAUGUCAGAUGUGGCUCCCACCCGGCCACGGUGGAACACGCAUGGGCACGUGUCUGACGCCAGCAUCAGCUUGGGGGAGUCUGUGUCAGAUGUGGCUCCCACUAGGCCACGGUGGAACAUCCAUGGACAUGUGUCCAACGCCAGCAUCAGGGUCGGGGAGAAUGUGUCGGACGUGGCUCCCACCCGGCCACGGUGGAACAUCCACGGACAUGUGUCUGACACCAGCAUCAGGUUUGGGGAGAACGUGUCGGACGUGGCUCCCACCCGGUCACGGUGGAACAUCCACGGACAUGUGUCCAACGCCAGCAUCAGCUUGGGGGAGCCUGUGUCGGACGUGGCUCCCACCCGGCCACGGUGGAACACCCAUGCACCCAUCCCUCCGCCCCACGUGAUGCUGGGGGAGCUCUCACCAGAAGCUGAGCCCAACACACCCAGGCCCCAACAGAGCCCCGCUGGCCACACGUCCCAGUCAGCACUCAGCCUGGGAGCACAGAGCACUGUGCUGGACUGUGGGCCACGGCUGCCUGUAGAAGUGGGGCCAUCUCUGUCCUCCCCCAGCUUGGGCUGCGGGGAGGAGAGCAUCAGCGUGGGGGAGAACGUGUCGGACGUGGCUCCCACCCAGCCAUCGUGGCCCAACACCCCGGGAGACAGUGUCUCUGAAGAACUAGGUCAGAGUAGGGUGGCUGGUGGUCAGGAGUGGGACUGUGGGACCCACAGAGCCUGGGAGGUAGGCGGGCAGUGGGGUUGGUGGCAUGUGAAGUUCCCCUCAGGCCUCCUUGUCAGCCAGGACCUGGGCUGCUGUGGGGGACAUGGGAGGGGCUGCUUGAGUCAGGGCCAGCUCUGCUGUGUCCCCUCCACAGGCACUCGGCCCUGAUGCCCUCAUGUCCACUUGUGUCCACACAGGCCCUGGGAGGAGCGGGGACACUGAAGACCUCUCUCCAAGUUGGCCUCUGAACUCACAGGAAGACACAGCUGCCCACAGCAGCCCAGGACCUGGUGAGGAGGAGGAGGAGGCAGGGGCGGCGGAGGCCCAGGGCAGGGAGCAGGCCUACCUGGCAGGCCUGGCAGGGCAGUACCAUUUGGAGCGGUACCCGGACAGUUACGAGUCCAUGUCCGAGCCACCCAUCGCCCACCUUUUGCGCCCUGUGCUUCCCCGGGCCUUCGCCUUCCCCGUGGACACCCAGGUCCAGUCUGCCACUGAUGAGACUGCCGUGCAGCUGAGCGAGUUGCUGACGCUGCCCGUGCUCAUGAAGCGCUCCAUCACAGCACCAUUGGCUGCCCAGUGAGUGCCCCUGCCCCAGUCUGCCCACCCAUCCCGUCCUGGCCCGCCCUGACUCCAGCUCCCUCCUGCCAGCAUCUCCUUGGUGAACAAGGCCGCUGUCGACUACUUCUUCGUGGAGCUGCACCUGGAGGCGCACUACGAGGCACUGCGGCACUUCCUGCUGAUGGAGGAUGGCGAGUUCGCCCAGUCCCUCAGCGACCUGCUCUUUGAGAAGCUUGGAGCUGGGCAAACGCCCGGAGAGCUGCUCAACCCGCUGGUGCUGAACUCUGUGCUGAGCAAGGCCCUGCAGUGCAGCCUGCAUGGGGACACCGCGCACGCCUCCAACCUCUCUCUCGCUCUCAAGUACCUGCCCGAGGUGUUUGCCCCCAACGCCCCGGAUGUGCUGAGCUGCCUAGAGCUCAGGUACAAGGUCAGCAGCAGCCCUGGUCACGGAGGAUGGGACAGGGGCCUGCCUGUGGGAUGCCUGCUGAGCCACACCUCCCGGCAGGUGGACUGGCCCCUCAACAUUGUCAUCACCGAGGGCUGCCUGAGCAAGUACAGCGGCGUCUUCUCCUUCCUGCUGCAGCUGAAGCUCAUGAUGUGGGCGCUCAAGGACGUCUGCUUCCACCUCAAGCGCACAGGUGAGGCCCCGCCGGAGCCCGGCGCCCCGUACCCCUGACUUGAGGCUGUGCUCACCUCUGCCCUCUGCCCUCUGCCAGCCCUGCUGAGCCACAUGGCCAGCUCCGUGCAGUUCCGCCAGCUGCAGCUGUUCAAGCACGAGAUGCAGCACUUCGUGAAGGUCAUCCAGGGCUACAUCGCCAACCAGAUCCUGCACGUCACCUGGUGCGAGUUCAGGGCCAGGCUGGCCACCGUGGGUGACCUGGAGGAGAUCCAGCGUGCGCAUGCAGAGUACCUGCACAAGGCCGUCUUCAGGUGAGGCCUGGGCAGCGGCUGCGUCCCUGUGGUCACAGCUCAGCCCACCCAGCAGUACUGCUUCCCCCCAGGGGCCUGCUCACGGAGAAGGCGGCGCCUGUCAUGAACAUCAUCCACAGCAUCUUCAGCCUGGUACUCAAGUUCCGCAGCCAGCUCAUCUCCCAGGCCUGGGGGCCCGCUGGGGGCCCGCGGGGUGCAGAGCACCCCAACUUUGCACUCAUGCAGCAGUCCUACAACACCUUCAAGUACUACUCCCACUUUCUCUUCAAAGUGGUGACCAAGCUGGUGAACCGGGGCUACCAGCCCCACCUGGAGGACUUUCUGCUGCGCAUUAACUUCAACAACUACUACCAGGACGCCUGAGGCUGCUCUUCGGGGGACAUGCACAAUAAAGUGUCCUUGGA
RNAcentral lists this small RNA (4177 nucleotides) under Pongo abelii (Sumatran orangutan). RNAcentral's name for it is "processed transcript". Lineage: Eukaryota; Metazoa; Chordata; Mammalia; Primates; Hominidae. The record is from RNAcentral.